Molecule: ribosomal RNA, 403 nt
Filed under: Verrucomicrobiota bacterium
Lineage: Bacteria; Pseudomonadati; Verrucomicrobiota
Description: Verrucomicrobia bacterium partial 16S ribosomal RNA
Rfam family: Bacterial small subunit ribosomal RNA
Source: RNAcentral
UGGGGAAUCUUGCACAAUGGGCGCAAGCCUGAUGCAGCAACGCCGCGUGAACGAUGAAGGUCUUCGGAUCGUAAAGUUCUGUUGCAGGGGAAGAUAAUGACGGUACCCUGUGAGGAAGCCCCGGCUAACUACGUGCCAGCAGCCGCGGUAAUACGUAGGGGGCUAGCGUUAUCCGGAUUUACUGGGCGUAAAGGGUGCGUAGGUGGUCCUUCAAGUCGGUGGUUAAAGGCUACGGCUCAACCGUAGUAAGCCGCCGAAACUGGAGGACUUGAGUGCAGGAGAGGAAAGUGGAAUUCCCAGUGUAGCGGUGAAAUGCGUAGAUAUUGGGAGGAACACCAGUAGCGAAGGCGGCUUUCUGGACUGCAACUGACACUGAGGCACGAAAGCGUGGGUAGCAAACAGG